CCCUUCAAGUGACGGAACAGGGACACCAUGGCGAACGAAACGAUGCUAUAUGCUGAAUACAAUCCUCAAUCUAACAUCAGGAGCGAAACAGAAAUCGACAAAAGACUUGGUGGUACUCUGAUAGCGGUUGGCCUUGGUGUUGCUGCCGCAGGAUUUGCAGGUCGCUAUGCAUUCCAGUUGUGGAAGCCUCUAGGACAGGUCCUGUCACAGACUGCUAAGAAGAUGCCCACCUCAGCCUUCUCAUCCUACCAUUAUAAAGGAGGGUUUGACCAGAAGAUGACUAAAAGAGAAGCCAGCCUCAUCCUUGGUAUUAGCCCAACCAGCACCAAGUCCAAGGUGAGAGAUGCCCACCGGAGGAUCAUGGUCCUGAACCACCCAGAUAAAGGUUAAUAGCCUCCCUCAGUCUCCCUCUGCUGAGAGGAUUACACACAGUCAUGCACCAAUACGCAUACACAGUAGCUAGUUUUACACACUCGUCCUCAAUGGGUUUUUCCCUCUCCUGAGAGGAGUACACACGGCGGUUAGUUUUACUCUGUGUGAAAUGGUCUGUGGGAUUCCUAUCUGACUCUGGGCGAUAAGGGCUGAGGUGACAGGAAGGAGGAGUUUCCAGCUGAACUGUACGAGGAUGGAGGAGUACUUUUCUGCAAAGUCUGUCAGCAUUCAAUCGACUACAUACAGUGUCAAACUGCGGUGGAGCACCUGAGGUCACUCCGACUCAAAAAUAGGAGGGCUAGUGGACCAGAACACAGACCCUGGCCUCCUGUCUGACAAAGACCCCCUCCACAGAGAGAAAGGAGUUCAUCUUGGACUUCACAAGAACAUUAAUCAAAGCAGAUAUACUUGAGAUGGGGCCCAAGUUCUCCACAUUUCUGAAGAAACACUGCAAGCAGGGAGGGUCUUUCCCAGUGCCAUCCCAUCUGCGUACAGAGUACCUACCAGGCCUCUAUCCACAAUAUAAACAGGACAUCAAAGAUGCUGUAGAGGGAAAGGACAUUUAUGUCAUCCUUGAUGAGACGACCGAUGCCUUUGGAAGAUGUGCACUCGCCAUCCUACUCCAGCCAGUGGAUAAGCAACCUGUUGUAGCAGAUCUGGCUUUCUUGGAUAGAGUUAACUUUACCACUGUGUCCCAAGCUGUCAUUUCCAGUCUCAACAACAAUGGGGUUGACUUUAACAAUGUGUCAGCUUUUGUAAGCGAUUCAGCUAGCUACAUGAAGAAGGCUUUCACCAGCAUCUUGAAGGGCCUCUUCCCCAACUCCGUAUACGUCACCUGCUUUGCCCAUCUCCUGAGCCUGGUGCUGGAUGUUUUUCCAGAGAUGUUUGAGGACGUGAACAGGCUGUGUGCUCUGGUGAAGGUUCUUUCAGGCACCCCAACGUCGUCUGGCGCUGACAUCAUUCAUGCUGGAAAAUGGCCAUUCUACUGUGAUGCCUGUGUAUGCUGUGCAGACCAGGUGUGGCUCCUGGAUACGUGCUAUGGCGUACCUUGCAGAGUACAUGGAUGUGCUCACCAACUUCACUAGGACCUUACCAGAAACGGCGAAGUGUGUCCAGGACCUUUGUGAGCUGCUGAGGGAACUGAAGGCCCAGGCAUUGUUCAUUGUGGAGAUUUUCUUCAUUAUGUUUUUUAUUUCACCUUUAUUUAACCAGGUGCAAGAAAGGACACUAAGGACUAUGUCCAUGCCGUCCCUGCUCUGAGCCAGGUGUCUGCAGAGGAGUGGCACAGACACAUGGGCAUCGACAAGGCAGACUCUAUGGAAGAGGAUCCCCUUACAUGGCCGCAAAGAUCAAUGAGGCCAAGGACCUGCUGGAUAAAGACCAACGGGGCUGAUAACUACAGCCCCUAUC
This is an RNA transcript of Coregonus clupeaformis (lake whitefish), 1842 nucleotides long. It is a transcript of the gene named DnaJ (Hsp40) homolog, subfamily C, member 15, with no coding region annotated. The transcript has 9 exons. The record is from RefSeq and is a predicted model, not a curated record. NCBI's taxonomy places the organism in Eukaryota, Metazoa, Chordata, Actinopteri, Salmoniformes, Salmonidae.